GGCCAGACUCCUACGGGAGGCAGCAGUGGGGGAUAUUGCACAAUGGGGGGAACCCUGAUGCAGCGACGCCGCGUGGGUGAAGAAGCGCCUCGGCGCGUAAAGCCCUGUCAGCAGGGAAGAAAAUGACGGUACCUGAAGAAGAAGCCCCGGCUAACUACGUGCCAGCAGCCGCGGUAAUACGUAGGGGGCAAGCGUUAUCCGGAUUUACUAGGUGUAAAGGGAGCGUAGACGGCAGGGCAAGUCUGGAGUGAAAGGCAGGGGCCCAACCCCUGGACUGCUCUGGAAACUGUCCGGUUGGAGUGCAGGAGAGGUAAGUGGAAUUCCUAGUGUAGCGGUGAAAUGCGUAGAUAUUAGGAGGAACACCAGUGGCGAAGGCGGCUUACUGGACUGUAACUGACGUUGAGGCUCGAAAGCGUGGGGAGCAAACAGGAUUAGAUACCCGUGUA
Molecule: ribosomal RNA, 446 nt
Filed under: uncultured bacterium
Lineage: Bacteria
Description: bacterial SSU rRNA
Rfam family: Bacterial small subunit ribosomal RNA
Source: RNAcentral